This 92-nucleotide ribosomal RNA is filed under the name Pogona vitticeps (central bearded dragon). The record is from RNAcentral. Lineage: Eukaryota; Metazoa; Chordata; Lepidosauria; Squamata; Agamidae.
GAUUGUCACCACGCCACUCUGAAAACACACCAUCUGGUUUGAUUUUGGAAGCUAAGCAGAGUCAGGCCAGGUUACUCUUUGGGUGGGAGGCA